This 370-nucleotide ribosomal RNA is filed under the name uncultured eukaryote. Its description in RNAcentral is "SSU rRNA". It matches the Rfam family "Eukaryotic small subunit ribosomal RNA", at positions 567 to 939 of the family's 1831-position model. The record is from RNAcentral.
CCAGCAGCCGCGGUAAUUCCAGCUCCAAUAGCGUAUACUAAAGUUGUUGCAGUUAAAAAGCUCGUAGUUGGAUUUCUGGUUGCAGAUACCGGUCCGCUCCUAACGGAGUGUGUACCAGGUAUUUGUGUCCAUCCUCGGGGAGAGCAUCCUUGGCAUUCAGUUGUCGAGAAUGGGAUCCCCGUCAUUUACUGUGAGCAAAAUAGAGUGUUCAAAGCAGGCUUAGGCCGUUGAAUACAUUAGCAUGGAAUAAUAAGAUAGGACCUUGGUCUAUUUUGUUGGUUUGCACUCCAAGGUAAUGAUUAAUAGGGAUAGUUGGGGGUAUUCGUAUUCAAUUGUCAGAGGUGAAAUUCUUGGAUUUAUGGAAGACGAA